GCCAACGACCAUACCACGCUGGGUCUACCGGUUCCCUUCCGCACACCGAAGUCAAGCAGCGUUGGGUGCGGUUAGUACUUAGAUGGGUGACCGCUUGGGAACACCGCAUGCCGUUGGCA
This is a non-coding RNA of Hordeum vulgare subsp. vulgare (domesticated barley), 119 nucleotides long. NCBI's taxonomy places the organism in Eukaryota, Viridiplantae, Streptophyta, Magnoliopsida, Poales, Poaceae. The record is from Rfam.